CCUACGGGAGGCAGCAGUGGGGAAUAUUGGACAAUGGGGGAAACCCUGAUCCAGCGACGCCGCGUGAGUGAAGAAGUAUUUCGGUACGUAAAGCUCUAUCAGCAGGAAAGAAAAUGACGGUACCUGACUAAGAAGCACCGGCUAACUACGUGCCAGCAGCCGCGGGAAUACGUAGGGGGCAAGCGUUAUCCGGAUUUACUGGGUGUAAAGGGAGCGCAGGCGGCCUGCCAAGUCUGGUGUGAAAACCCGGGGCCCAACCCCGGGCCUGCAGUGGAAACUGGCGGGCUGGAGUGUCGGAGGGGCAGGCGGAAUGCGUGGUGUAGCGGUGAAAUGCGUAGAUAUUAGGAGGAACACCGGUGGCGAAGGCGGCCUGCUGGACGAUGACUGACGCUGAGGCUCGAAAGCGUGGGGAGCAAACAGGAUUAGAUACCCGAGUAGUC
This 440-nucleotide ribosomal RNA is filed under the name uncultured bacterium. RNAcentral describes it as "partial 16S ribosomal RNA". It matches the Rfam family "Bacterial small subunit ribosomal RNA", at positions 338 to 795 of the family's 1533-position model. The record is from RNAcentral.